RNAcentral lists this ribosomal RNA (451 nucleotides) under uncultured bacterium. RNAcentral describes it as "partial 16S ribosomal RNA". It matches the Rfam family "Bacterial small subunit ribosomal RNA", at positions 354 to 796 of the family's 1533-position model. The record is from RNAcentral.
GUGGGGAAUAUUGCGCAAUGGGGGAAACCCUGACGCAGCGACGCCGUGUGAGGGAAGAAGGCCUUCGGGUCGUAAACCUCUGUCAGAAGGGAAGAACCGCCGGGGGAUGAAUAAGUCCUCGGUCUGACGGUACCUUCAGAGGAAGCGCCGGCUAACUCCGUGCCAGCAGCCGCGGUAAUACGGAGGGCGCAAGCGUUAAUCGGAAUUACUGGGCGUAAAGCGUGCGUAGGCUGUUUGGUAAGUCAGGCGUGAAAGCCCUCGGCUCAACCAGGGAACUGCCUUUGAUACUGCACAACGUGAAUCCGGGAGAGGGUGGCGGAAUUCCAGGUGUAGGAGUGAAAUCCGUAGAUAUCUGGAGGAACAUCAGUGGCGAAGGCGGCCACCUGGACCGGUAUUGACGCUGAUGCACGAAAGCAUGGGGAGCAAACAGGAUUAGAUACCCCAGUAGUCC